RNAcentral lists this ribosomal RNA (468 nucleotides) under uncultured bacterium. RNAcentral describes it as "partial 16S ribosomal RNA". It matches the Rfam family "Bacterial small subunit ribosomal RNA", at positions 28 to 507 of the family's 1533-position model. The record is from RNAcentral.
GACGAACGCUGGCGGCGUGCUUAACACAUGCAAGUCGAACGGAAAGGCCCUGCUUUUGUGGGGUGCUCGAGUGGCGAACGGGUGAGUAACACGUGAGUAACCUGCCCUUGACUUUGGGAUAACUUCAGGAAACUGGGGCUAAUACCGGAUAGGAGCUCCUGCUGCAUGGUGGGGGUUGGAAAGUUUCGGUGUUUGGGGAUGGACUCGCGGCUUAUCAGCUUGUUGGUGGGGUAGUGGCUUACCAAGGCUUUGACGGGUAGCCGGCCUGGGAGGGUGACCGGCCACAUGAGGACUGAGGUACGGCCCAGACGCCUACGGGAGGCAGCAGUGGGGAAUAUUACACAAUGGGCGGAAGCGUGAUGCAGCAACGCCGCGUGCGGGAUGACGGCCUUCGGGUUGUAAACCGCUUUCGACUGUGACGAAGCGUGAGUGACGGUAAUGGGUAAAGAAGCACCGGCUAACUACGUG